Molecule: transfer RNA, 785 nt
Filed under: Bradyrhizobium japonicum
Lineage: Bacteria; Pseudomonadati; Pseudomonadota; Alphaproteobacteria; Hyphomicrobiales; Nitrobacteraceae
Description: partial contains 16S-23S ribosomal RNA intergenic spacer and 23S ribosomal RNA
Rfam family: tRNA (bases 185-258)
Source: RNAcentral
UCUAGANGGUCUCAGAGCUUGCUUCUAUCCNACCGUUUUAGAAACAUCAGUGGCCAACGAUCGUCAGGAUUGUUGAGCUGCAUUGGCGGGAUUUCGCCGUCUUCGUUUCUCUUUCUUCGCGGACGAACACGCGCUGGGGCUGCAAGCUUGCAGAAUCCCUGGUCCUUGACUGGAUAUGCGUUAGGGGCUUGUAGCUCAGUUGGUUAGAGCGCGCGCUUGAUAAGCGUGAGGUCGGAAGUUCAAGUCUUCCCAGGCCCACCACACUCAUCGAGUGAGCAUUCGUCUUCUGGUUACGGGGCCAUAGCUCAGCUGGGAGAGCGCGUGCUUUGCAAGCAUGAGGUCGUCGGUUCGAUCCCGUCUGGCUCCACCAGAUGGUUUGAUCAUCGACUGAUCGUGCACCUAAAUCGUCCGCGAAACAUCACUUCGCACUUACUAGUCCGGAUGGACAGUAAGCUGCGUGAUUUCUGACAUCGUAAAGAGGAGAUCGAUCCGAGUUGGAUCGGGCAACAAGCAAUUGUUGCGCGAUACUUCAUUAUCUCCGGAUCAUUUCGGCGCUCGUGCGCCUUUCAAUGUAGCUCACAAGGCUGCGUCUGAGAGGAAUGCGAGUUGUAAAUGAUCCUUUUAGCGAAGCUUGACCGCCUCGCUAUCGGAACGAUCUUACGAAGCAAGCUGGUCUUUCUAAUCAUUGUCCGGCUGCAGAUAGCGUUCAUCGAGGGCGCGUGCCGCAAGGUAAUUCUGCAGACAACAUUCUGCCGAGUGUGUGGACAUUGAUAAUGAGAGCAAUC